GGAAAUGAUACAUGUAAUGGAACAGGUAUAUAUUCUUAUUUCAACAUGACAUACAAGAGAAACACUACAAUUUACGGAGACACGCGAGUUAUUUCUGCAUAGGCCUUACUAUUUUCUGGUGGUGGUCAAAACAUGCUUAUACACAGUGUCGAAAAUCCAAAUUGAAGUUUACUAACUUGGUCCAGCAUUUUGACAUGUCUGGUCACCUUCCUCUUUUCUUUU
Molecule: unclassified non-coding RNA, 222 nt
Filed under: Hevea brasiliensis (rubber tree)
Lineage: Eukaryota; Viridiplantae; Streptophyta; Magnoliopsida; Malpighiales; Euphorbiaceae
Source: RNAcentral